ACCUCCUCCCAUCAAUCACAAAUGUCCUUAAUGGCAUUUGCUAUUAAGGACAUUUGAUUCACGGGAGGAGGU
Molecule: microRNA precursor, 72 nt
Organism: Gorilla gorilla gorilla (western lowland gorilla)
Lineage: Eukaryota; Metazoa; Chordata; Mammalia; Primates; Hominidae
Rfam family: mir-4477 microRNA precursor family
Source: Rfam